RNA transcript from Solanum pennellii, 1179 nucleotides. It is a transcript of the gene named LOB domain-containing protein 42-like, with no coding region annotated. The transcript is spliced from 3 exons. The record is from RefSeq and is a predicted model, not a curated record. Lineage: Eukaryota; Viridiplantae; Streptophyta; Magnoliopsida; Solanales; Solanaceae.
UCCUUCUUCUUCUUCUUCAAUUUGCUCAUUAUUUUUCUUUUCUCUCUAAAAAAAAACAAAAAUCAUGAGAAUGAGCUGCAAUGGUUGUCGAGUUCUUCGAAAAGGUUGCAGUGAAAAUUGCAGUUUAAGACCCUCUCUUCAAUGGAUCAAAUCACCUGAUUCACAAGCCAACGCUACUGUCUUCCUCGCCAAAUUUUACGGCCGGGCUGGACUCAUCAAUCUCAUCAAUGCUGGACCCCAACAUCUCCGCCCUGCAAUAUUUAGGUCUUUAUUGUACGAGGCUUGUGGCCGGAUAAUUAAUCCGGUAAACGGAUCAGUCGGGUUAAUGUGUUCCGGCAAUUGGCAGCGUUGUCAGGACGCUGUCGAAUCGGUACUCAAAGGAUCAACAAUCAUGCAAGUACCGAUUAAUAAUGAUGAUGAUAAUAACAGUAGUGAUCAAAUUGUACCGCUAAAAGGAUGUGACAUACGACAUGUUUCAAAGUAUAACUCAACAAAUUCGGAUAACCAACAAGUCAAAACUAGGAAUGGCAGGCUUAAGCGUAAGGGUAGUACUUUUGAUUCUGUUGCUUCAGCUUCCGCGGAAGCUGAAGCAGCAGAAGAGUACUUGUUGAAGAAUCAACCCCCGUUAAAAUUCAGUAUAACGGGAUGGGAUCAAUUUGAAGAGAUAGAAGAUGAGAUGAUCAAACGCUCACAAAGUCAUGACUCGUUUUCAGUUGAAACGGUUGAACCGACCCUGUUGGUGAACCGGGUUGACCCGGUAAAAUUGGAGGAAGAUGGUGAUCUCCUAGGAUUAGACCUUACUCUUGGGUUGAUGAGUCCAGCUUAAUAAUAACAGGCCGAUGACUCUCGAGAGCUCUUAUUGACGGAAUCAUUGAAUUCAUCACAACAUUUUGGGCUUUUUUAGUAAAGGGAAAAAUGGUUUCCUUUCUUUAAUGAUUUUGAUUGGCCAAAAUAAUGAAGAACACGUGGAUGCAUGGAGGAAAUUUUGUCAACAAAUGCUAUGCAUGCAAUGGGUAAGUAAAGUUUGGAUUUUGCCAAGUUUUUGAGGAAACAAAAGUUUAUGCUUACUUUUGCCUUAUUUAUGGAUCAUAGACAUGAGGAAUAUGCUAGACUAGCUGUUGUGGACAUUUUCCCAAGAAUUUAGGUGUUUCUACGCAAUUAAUAAAAAUAUUUUUAAAA